This 424-nucleotide ribosomal RNA is filed under the name uncultured bacterium. RNAcentral's name for it is "bacterial SSU rRNA". It matches the Rfam family "Bacterial small subunit ribosomal RNA", at positions 356 to 771 of the family's 1533-position model. The record is from RNAcentral.
GGGGAAUAUUGCGCAAUGGGCGAAAGCCUGACGCAGCGACGCCGCGUGGGGGAGGAAGGCCCCAGGGUUGUAAACCCCUGUCAGGUGGGACGAACCCCGGUACGUCGAACAGGCGUACCGACUGACGGUACCACCAGAGGAAGCUCCGGCUAACUCCGUCCCAGCAGCCGCGGUAAUACGGAGGGGGCUAGCGUUGUUCGGAAUUACUGGGCGUAAAGGGCGUGUAGGCGGCGGAACAAGUCAGGCGUGAAAGCCCCGGGCUCAACCUGGGAGGUGCGCUUGAUACUGUUUUGCUAGAGUCCGGGAGAGGCGAGUGGAAUAUCCAGUGUAGAGGUGAAAUUCGUAGAUAUUGGAUGGAACACCAGUGGCGAAGGCGGCUCGCUGGACCGGAACUGACGCUGAGGCGCGAAAGCGUGGGGAGCAA